AUUGCACUUGUUCGUGAGAAUAGGUGCAAUUGCCUAAAUGAAUGUCUUCAGAAGAUGACAAACCUGUGGGGCGUAAGUAAUAAAGAGUCUGAAAGAUUGCAGAUAAGAGUAUGCACUUAUUGGCAAUAUGCAUACCAGAAUAAUUUAUUAUGAUCGUGCGGACGUUAAAAUCAGGU
RNAcentral lists this non-coding RNA (176 nucleotides) under unclassified sequences. The record is from RNAcentral.